GACGAACGCUGGCGGCGUGCUUAACACAUGCAAGUCGAACGGAGCUAUUUAUUUCGGUAGAUAGCUUAGUGGCAAACGGGUGAGUAACGCGUAGGCAACCUGCCCUUAGGAUGGGGACAACGGCCCGAAAGGACCGCUAAUACCGAAUGGACUCUAACUUUCGCAUGAAAGAAAGAGGAAAGAUGGUGCAAGCCAUCGCCGAAGGAAGGGCCUGCGUCUGAUUAGCCAGUUGGUGAGGUAACGGCUCACCAAAGCGACGAUCAGUAGCCGGUCUGAGAGGAUGAACGGCCACAAUGGGACUGAGACACGGCCCAUACUCCUACGGGAGGCAGCGGUGGGGAAUCUUCCGCAAUGGGCGAAAGCCUGACGGAGCAACGCCGCGUGAGUGAAGAAGGUCUUCGGAUCGUAAAGCUCUGUUGUUGGGGACGAAAGGAAAAGGGAGGAAAUGCCCUUUUA
This 456-nucleotide ribosomal RNA is filed under the name Veillonellaceae bacterium oral taxon 132. RNAcentral describes it as "bacterial SSU rRNA". It matches the Rfam family "Bacterial small subunit ribosomal RNA", at positions 28 to 469 of the family's 1533-position model. The record is from RNAcentral. Lineage: Bacteria; Bacillati; Bacillota; Negativicutes; Veillonellales; Veillonellaceae.